Molecule: ribosomal RNA, 253 nt
Filed under: uncultured bacterium
Lineage: Bacteria
Description: partial 16S ribosomal RNA
Rfam family: Bacterial small subunit ribosomal RNA
Source: RNAcentral
UACGUAGGAGGCGAGCGUUGUCCGGAAUUACUGGGUGUAAAGCGCGUGUAGGCGGAUGCCCAAGUCUGGGGUGAAAUCACCUGGCUCAACUGGGUGGGGUCCUUAGAAACUGGGCGUCUGGAGGACGGUAGAGGCGAGUGGAAUUCCCGGUGUAGUGGUGAAAUGCGUAGAGAUCGGGGGGAACACCAGUGGCGAAGGCGGCUCGCUGGGCCGGCCCUGACGCUGAGGCGCGAAAGCGUGGGGAGCAAACAGG